Molecule: ribosomal RNA, 500 nt
Filed under: uncultured bacterium
Lineage: Bacteria
Description: partial 16S ribosomal RNA
Rfam family: Bacterial small subunit ribosomal RNA
Source: RNAcentral
AUUGAACGCUGGCGGCAUGCCUUACACAUGCAAGUCGAACGGCAGCACGGGAGCAAUCCUGGUGGCGAGUGGCGAACGGGUGAGUAAUGUAUCGGAACGUGCCCAGUCGUGGGGGAUAACGUAGCGAAAGCUACGCUAAUACCGCAUACGAUCUAUGGAUGAAAGCGGGGGAUCGCAAGACCUCGCGCGAUUGGAGCGGCCGAUAUCAGAUUAGGUAGUUGGUGGGGUAAAGGCCCACCAAGCCAACGAUCUGUAGCUGGUCUGAGAGGACGACCAGCCGCACUGGAACUGAGACACGGUCCAGACUCCUACGGGAGGCAGCAGUGGGGAAUUUUGGACAAUGGGCGAAAGCCUGAUCCAGCCAUUCCGCGUGCAGGAUGAAGGCCCUCGGGUUGUAAACUGCUUUUGUACAGAACGAAAAGGUUUCUACUAAUACUAGGAGCUCAUGACGGUACUGUAAGAAUAAGCACCGGCUAACUACGUGCCAGCAGCUGCCGUAA